This 696-nucleotide ribosomal RNA is filed under the name uncultured bacterium. Its description in RNAcentral is "bacterial SSU rRNA". It matches the Rfam family "Bacterial small subunit ribosomal RNA", at positions 56 to 755 of the family's 1533-position model. The record is from RNAcentral.
UGCAGUCGAACGGUAACAGGUUAAGCUGACGAGUGGCGAACGGGUGAGUAAUGCAUCGGAACGUGCCCGAUCGUGGGGGAUAACGCAGCGAAAGCUGCGCUAAUACCGCAUACGAUCUGAGGAUGAAAGCGGGGGACCGUAAGGCCUCGCGCGAUCGGAGCGGCCGAUGUCAGAUUAGGUAGUUGGUGGGGUAAAGGCUCACCAAGCCAACGAUCUGUAGCUGGUCUGAGAGGACGACCAGCCACACUGGGACUGAGACACGGCCCAGACUCCUACGGGAGGCAGCAGUGGGGAAUUUUGGACAAUGGGCGAAAGCCUGAUCCAGCAAUGCCGCGUGCAGGAAGAAGGCCUUCGGGUUGUAAACUGCUUUUGUACGGAGCGAAAAGGCUCUCUCUAAUACAGGGGGCUCAUGACGGUACCGUAAGAAUAAGCACCGGCUAACUACGUGCCAGCAGCCGCGGUAAUACGUAGGGUGCAAGCGUUAAUUGGAAUUACUGGGCGUAAAGCGUGCGCAGGCGGUUUUGUAAGACAGGCGUGAAAUCCCCGGGCUCAACCUGGGAAUGGCGCUUGUGACUGCAAAGCUGGAGCGCGGCAGAGGGGGAUGGAAUUCCGCGUGUAGCAGUGAAAUGCGUAGAUAUGCGGAGGAACACCGAUGGCGAAGGCAAUCCCCCGGGCCUGCACUGACGCUCAUGCACG